This 253-nucleotide ribosomal RNA is filed under the name uncultured bacterium. Its description in RNAcentral is "partial 16S ribosomal RNA". It matches the Rfam family "Bacterial small subunit ribosomal RNA", at positions 524 to 776 of the family's 1533-position model. The record is from RNAcentral.
GACGUAGGGGGCCAGCGUUGUUCGGAAUUACUGGGUGUAAAGGGUUCGUAGGCGGUGUGGCAAGUCGGGAGUGAAAUCUCUGGGCUCAACCCAGAGUCUGCUUCCGAAACUGCUGUGCUUGAGUGUGGGAGAGGCGCGUGGAAUUCCUGGUGUAGCGGUGAAAUGCGCAGAUAUCAGGAAGAACACCCGUGGCUAAGGCGGCUCUCUAGUACGGUACUGACGCUGAGACGCGAAAGCGUGGGGAGCGAACAGG